RNAcentral lists this ribosomal RNA (342 nucleotides) under Orchopeas leucopus. RNAcentral's name for it is "eukaryotic LSU rRNA". It matches the Rfam family "Eukaryotic large subunit ribosomal RNA", at positions 646 to 964 of the family's 3401-position model. Lineage: Eukaryota; Metazoa; Arthropoda; Insecta; Siphonaptera; Ceratophyllidae. The record is from RNAcentral.
GACCCGUCUUGAACCACGGAGUCUAGCAUGUGCGCAAGUCAUUGGGAAUCACAAAACCUAAAGGCGUAAUGAAGGUGAAGGUUCGCUUAUGCGGACUGAGGGAUGAUGGUUGGCAUUACGGAGCAAACUCGCAAUCCCGGGGCGUCUUACUCUCAUUGNGAGAAGAGGCGCACCAAGAGCGUACACGCUGGGACCCGAAAGAUGGUGAACUAUGCCUGGUCAGGUCGAAGUCAGGGGAAACCCUGAUGGAGGACCGUAGCGAUUCUGACGUGCAAAUCGAUCGUCGGAACUGGGUAUAGCGGCGAAAGACUAAUCGAACAUCUAGUAGCUGGUUCCUUCCGA